Molecule: microRNA, 21 nt
Filed under: Gadus morhua (Atlantic cod)
Lineage: Eukaryota; Metazoa; Chordata; Actinopteri; Gadiformes; Gadidae
Description: gmo-miR-11190-5p
Source: miRBase by way of RNAcentral
UCCUUGUUGGCCAUGAGCGGG